This 76-nucleotide transfer RNA is filed under the name Rhodospirillales bacterium. Its description in RNAcentral is "tRNA-Phe". It matches the Rfam family "tRNA". Rfam says of the family: Transfer RNA (tRNA) molecules are approximately 80 nucleotides in length. Lineage: Bacteria; Pseudomonadati; Pseudomonadota; Alphaproteobacteria; Rhodospirillales. The record is from RNAcentral.
GCCCAGGUAGCUCAGUUGGUAGAGCAACGGACUGAAAAUCCGUGUGUCGGUCGUUCAAAUCGGCCCCUGGGCACCA